CUCUGAAUCAGAUCGUGGGAUUCUCUCUACCGAAUGUUGGAUGGAAAUGUGGACUGCAAGGAGGAGGAGUUUUCAGAGCUCAUCUCACUCCUCUGUCACUGUCCAGAGGAUGGGACCGAGGUCCGGAGAGGAGCAGGGGGCUGUGAGGCCACACAGCCAUGGGAGAGGGGGCCGAGUUGGGAUCGGAGUGGGAGGCCCAUCUCUGGAUGGGCAGCAAAGAGCGCCGGCUGGUUCGCUUGUCCAGACUGCGAGUGCCCAGCUCCUGGCUGGACUUCCCGCUGGGCACAGGUUGGGCACAAGUGUGUGCCCCCACCGCCCCAGUUCCUGCCUUCCACCUGGACAGACUGCCUCUUGUGCUCUGUUAAAGUGCCCCCUGGCACCUCCUCCCUGGGGAUUGGGGCCUGAUCUGGUCUCCAAUCAGAGCCACCCCAGCACCUCCCACCCAGCUCCUGGUUAGCCUGAGGGAGGACAGGACAGGUGCCCAGAGAGAAGUGUGCUGGGCCCACCAGCCUUGAAUGUCGCGUGGGAGGGGUGGAUGGUGACAUGCCAGCUCUUCCCACUUGUUCUGGACAGAUGGCAGUUUCCCAGGGAGGCCUUGCCUUGCCGACUGCAGAGACACCUUCAAACCCCAAGAACAGGGAGGAUGAAAUAAACACAGCUCAGGACCUCCAGGCACCACAAGCUCCCUGUCUAAAUUGGCGCUGUCACCCCAGGGGCCCUAGAGAAAUUACCCCAAAACCCAAAGUGACCCCCAGCCCUACUCUGGUAUCUGAGAUCUGGGCCUAGAGCUCAAGGGACCUUGAUUUCCAGGUCCUGCUGAAUGCAGACAACACCGGAAAGCAGCAUGCUUGAUCUGGCGUGUACCCAGCAGUGGUCAUCCUUCUAAGUCUCCUGUUUCCUGGGCUCUAAUGUCAUACAGGCCUGGCAUUGAAUGUCAGAGGUGCCCAAAGGAGCUGUGUGGCUAUGGACAAAUGACCAGACCUCUCUGAGCCUUAGUUUCCAUCUCAGUAAAAUGGGGUUUCUGUGGGGCUUAUAUAAAUUAAUGCCUGAAUAAAUGGUAGCAGUGAUUAUAAAUACAACUUGUUGAGCAAGCUGAGAAUACAGGCUGGGCUCCCACCACCGUGUCACCCAUCAGGGGUGGGGGGUGCGGAGGAAGGGGGGGGCGGAGGCCAGGACAGUUCCAUGCAAAUCUUGCCUCAGAAGUAGAGAGAGAGGGGGCCGGGCAGGCUGCGAGGUGCUCUCCGAAGCAGGGAGCUAGGGUAGAGGUGAGGGAGUGGGCAGGCCAAGAAAUACAGUUGGGAGGAGGUGAGGCUGCCUCCAGGCAACAAGUCCCUCUCUGUUCCUGCUGCCCCAGGAGGCCCCAGGCCAGCCCAUGUCACAUGGCCCAUGAAUCUCCAGCUAAGGUUGGAGCAUUUCAGGGCAGCCUUGGCCUUGGCUUCCCCUGAUGUUCUGAUAUCUUGAGAGCAGGGGCUGGGCUGGUCCUGUUACCAUCGUCUGCCCGGCACCCAGCUGGGUGCCUGGUACGGAGCCUGAGAUCAGGUCACCCCUGAUCAGCCGAAAGAAUGAUUUGAAGACGAGCUUCCAAUGUUCCCGCCAUCGCCUUCAUUGUACAGAUGUGGAAACUGAGGCACAAAAAGGGGGGGACAAGUGUUGCCCCAGAUCACAGUGGAAGUUGGUGACAGGAUAGGACUGACUCUACCCCGGGGUCUGUCUGGACUCCAUGUCCGGUGAGCGCUCCACAACCAUAUUCUCCAUUAAAGAGAACCUGUGAUCUUUUGUUGUUGUUUUUUGUUUGUUUGUUUGUUUUGUCUUUUCUUGGGCCGCACCCGAAGCAUAUGGAGGUUCCCAGGCUAGGGGUCAAACUCGAGCUGUAGCGGCCGGCCUACGCCACAGCCACAGCAACGUGGGAUCCGAACCACAUCUGCGACCCACACCACAGCUCACGGCAACGACGGAUCCCUAACCCACUGAGUGAGGCCAGGGCUUGAACCUGCGUCCCCAUGGAUCCAAGUCAGAUUCAUUUCUGCUGAGCCACGAUGGGAACUCCCCACUUUUUGUCUUUCUUCUUUGCCUCUUUCCUCCCUUCCUUCCCUCCUUUCUUUCAAACGUGGACGACUGUAUACUUGCAAAGUGGAAAUAGAUUUCUCUUUUGCCUCUACUUUAAAAAAAAUCCUAUGUUCUC
RNAcentral lists this long non-coding RNA (2182 nucleotides) under Sus scrofa (pig). RNAcentral's name for it is "lncRNA (ENSSSCG00040067785.1)". The record is from RNAcentral. Lineage: Eukaryota; Metazoa; Chordata; Mammalia; Artiodactyla; Suidae.